UACGAAGGGGGCUAGCGUUGCUCGGAAUCACUGGGCGUAAAGGGCGCGUAGGCGGCGUUUUAAGUCGGGGGUGAAAGCCUGUGGCUCAACCACAGAAUGGCCUUCGAUACUGGGACGCUUGAGUAUGGUAGAGGUUGGUGGAACUGCGAGUGUAGAGGUGAAAUUCGUAGAUAUUCGCAAGAACACCGGUGGCGAAGGCGGCCAACUGGACCAUUACUGACGCUGAGGCGCGAAAGCCAGGGGAGCGAACGGG
RNAcentral lists this ribosomal RNA (253 nucleotides) under uncultured bacterium. RNAcentral describes it as "partial 16S ribosomal RNA". It matches the Rfam family "Bacterial small subunit ribosomal RNA", at positions 524 to 776 of the family's 1533-position model. The record is from RNAcentral.